RNAcentral lists this ribosomal RNA (253 nucleotides) under uncultured bacterium. RNAcentral's name for it is "partial 16S ribosomal RNA". It matches the Rfam family "Bacterial small subunit ribosomal RNA", at positions 524 to 776 of the family's 1533-position model. The record is from RNAcentral.
UACGUAGGGGGCAAGCGUUGUCCGGAUUUAUUGGGCGUAAAGAGCGUGUAGGCGGCCUGAAAGGUCAGCUGUGAAAACUCGAGGCUCAACCUCGAGACGUCGGUUGAAACCAUCUGGCUAGAGUCCGGAAGAGGAGUGUGGAAUUCCCGGUGUAGCGGUGAAAUGCGCAGAUAUCGGGAAGAACACCCGUGGCGAAGGCGGCACUCUGGGCAAUAACUGACGCUGAGGAGCGAAAGCGUGGGGAGCGAACAGG